RNAcentral lists this ribosomal RNA (381 nucleotides) under uncultured bacterium. Its description in RNAcentral is "bacterial SSU rRNA". It matches the Rfam family "Bacterial small subunit ribosomal RNA", at positions 28 to 412 of the family's 1533-position model. The record is from RNAcentral.
GACGAACGCUGGCGGCGUGCUUAGCACAUGCAAGUCGAGCGGUAAGGCCCUUUCGGGGGUACACGAGCGGCGAACGGGUGAGUAACACGUGGGUGACCUGCCCUCAGCUCUGGGAUAAGCCUGGGAAACCGGGUCUAAUACUGGAUAUGACUCCAUGACGCAUGUUGUGGGGUGGAAAGCCUUGUGCGGCUGAGGAUGGGCCCGCGGCCUAUCAGCUUGUUGGUGGGGNGAUGGCCUACCAAGGCGACGACGGGCAGCCGGCCUGAGAGGGCGACCGGCCACACUGGGACUGAGACACGGCCAGACUCCUACGGGAGGCAGCAGUGGGGAAUCUUGCGCAAUGGGCGAAAGCCUGACGCAGCGACGCCGCGUGAGGAUGAC